RNAcentral lists this ribosomal RNA (253 nucleotides) under uncultured bacterium. RNAcentral's name for it is "partial 16S ribosomal RNA". It matches the Rfam family "Bacterial small subunit ribosomal RNA", at positions 524 to 776 of the family's 1533-position model. The record is from RNAcentral.
UACGGAGGAGGCAAGCGUUGUUCGGAAUUACUGGGCGUAAAGGGCUCGUAGGCGGCCAACUAAGUCGGAUGUGAAAUCCCCAGGCUUAACCUGGGAAUUGCAUCCGAUACUGGAUGGCUUGAAUCCGGGAGAGGGAUGCGGAAUUCCAGGUGUAGCGGUGAAAUUCGUAGAUAUUCGGAAGAACACCAGUGGCGAAGGCGACUCGCUGGACAGGUAUUGACGCUGAGGUGCGAAAGCGUGGGGAGCAAACAGG